CCAAUAGCGUAUAUUAAAGUUGUUGCAGUUAAAAAGCUCGUAGUUGAAUUUCGGGAUCAGUACGCUGGUCGUGCCUUCGGUAUGUACUGGUGUUACUGGUUCCUACCUUCUGACGAACCGUCAUGUCAUUAAUUUGGUGUGGCGGGAAAUCAGGACUGUUACUUUGAAAAAAUUAGAGGGUUUAAAGCAGGCUCGCGCUUGAAUACAUUAGCUUGAAAUAAUGAAAUAGGACGUUCGAUUCUAUUUUGUUGGUUUCUAGGAUUGACGUAAUGAUUAAUAGGGAUAGUUGGGAGCAGUAGUAUUCAAUUGUCAGAGGUGAAAUUCUUGGAUUUAUUGAAGACUAACUACUGCGAAAGCAUUUGCCAAGGAUGUUUUCAUUAAUCAAGAACGAAAGUUAGGGGAUCGAAGACGAUCAGAUACCGUCGUAGUCUUAACCAUAAACUAUGCCGACUAGGGAUCGGAUGAUGUUAUUUUUAAUGACUCAUUCGGCGCCUUACG
This 498-nucleotide unclassified non-coding RNA is filed under the name uncultured Glomus. RNAcentral's name for it is "SSU rRNA". It matches the Rfam family "Eukaryotic small subunit ribosomal RNA", at positions 591 to 1092 of the family's 1831-position model. The record is from RNAcentral. Lineage: Eukaryota; Fungi; Glomeromycota; Glomeromycetes; Glomerales; Glomeraceae.